AGCGAACGCUGGCGGCAGGCCUAACACAUGCAAGUCGAACGAACUCUUCGGAGUUAGUGGCGGACGGGUGAGUAACACGUGGGAACGUGCCCUUUGGUACGGAAUAACUCAGGGAAACUUGAGCUAAUACCGUAUGUGCCCUUCGGGGGAAAGAUUUAUCGCCAUUGGUGCGGCCCGCGUCUGAUUAGCUAGUUGGUGAGGUAAAGGCUCACCAAGGCUACGAUCAGUAGCUGGUCUGAGAGGAUGAUCAGCCACAUUGGGACUGAGACACGGCCCAAACUCCUACGGGAGGCAGCAGUGGGGAAUCUUGCGCAAUGGGCGAAAGCCUGACGCAGCCAUGCCGCGUGAAUGAUGAAGGUCUUAGGAUUGUAAAAUUCUUUCACCGGGGACGAUAAUGACGGUACCCGGAGAAGAAGCCCCGGCUAACUUCGUG
This 433-nucleotide ribosomal RNA is filed under the name uncultured bacterium. RNAcentral's name for it is "partial 16S ribosomal RNA". It matches the Rfam family "Bacterial small subunit ribosomal RNA", at positions 29 to 507 of the family's 1533-position model. The record is from RNAcentral.